RNAcentral lists this long non-coding RNA (1128 nucleotides) under Taeniopygia guttata (zebra finch). RNAcentral describes it as "lncRNA (ENSTGUG00000029287.1)". Lineage: Eukaryota; Metazoa; Chordata; Aves; Passeriformes; Estrildidae. The record is from RNAcentral.
CCCCAUGUCCUACCUGCACCUUGAUGAGCUCCUCUGUCUCAGAGUGCUCCAGGUGCUUCCAUGACGGCUGGGUUGCAGUGCAGAGCGGCACACCCCAUGCGGCUGGAUGGGGUGUUAGGCCAUAGCCCUGCCCUGCUGCAGGCCCAUGCCGUUUGUGCAGCAGUGGCUGCCACUGACGGGGAUACCCGUGAGCAUUCGCCUCCUGCUGCUGCUUCCACAUCUUGGGCGUUUUUUGCCAGAAACUGGCCAGAAUCACCCAGGGAGCUGUUGCGUCUUGAGAAGCUGCGGCUUCCUCAGAGAGCUGCUCUCCUGGGAGUGGCCACUGCCGGGUGAGGUAGCCCCAAGAUGUGCAACAUGGACCCGUGUCACAAUGGUCUCUGGGCACGAUGUCACUGCGGGUCACAAAGGCCUGGUGGGCAUUGCUGCCCAUCCCCAGUCCCCGAGGCCUGGCGGUUUCCAUGCUGAUGUCCCUGGUCACAAAGGCCUUCUAUAGGCUGUUGCCCCUUGGUUUGCCUAUGCUUGUUCUUCUCUCAUUGACCUGAAACUCUCUCGCUCCCGCCUUUUGUGAUCCGCUCCUAAAUAUCCCCAAAGAAGCCCUGUGCUGGGCCAAAGUGUGAUUCCCACCCAGCCCAGCAUGUGUCCCAGCCUCGAGCCCAGGUAGAAAUAUCAUCAGAAUAGACAAAACCUCUUUGAAUUUCAUCUGGCUACUCCUUUUAAAGAAAAUAAAGCGUCUUUUUUCAAAAAGUUUAGGAACACAGGACUACCAAGGGAAAUCGCCCUUCUUAUUCAAUGUGGGGAUAAAAGGCUGAGGUACAGAAUGCAUUCUUUGCCUGGGCCUUCAACAGUCAUUGGUUAUCCUGAGGACAAGCAGAGAUUGUCAGUGCCCUGAGCUGGCACACAGGGACAGGGAGCAGAGCAGACCCCCUGCAAUCCUGGAGGAAGUUCGUCAGUGACCUGUGCAGCCACUUGGACGCUGCCAAGUCUGGGGGUCUGGCCCAGAAUCUCCCAGGGAGGCUGAGGGAGCCCAUGGAAGUGCUGGCUAAGCCUCUCAUCAAUCUAUUUUGCCAUCACUCUUGGUCAGUUGGGGAAGGCCCAGAUGAGUGGAGGUGGCAGCGUGACAUCCAUGUC